This 1372-nucleotide ribosomal RNA is filed under the name uncultured bacterium. RNAcentral describes it as "bacterial SSU rRNA". It matches the Rfam family "Bacterial small subunit ribosomal RNA", at positions 28 to 1381 of the family's 1533-position model. The record is from RNAcentral.
GAUGAACGCUGGCGGCGUGCCUAAUACAUGCAAGUCGAGCGAACGGACGAGAAGCUUGCUUCUCUGAUGCUAGCGGCGGACGGGUGAGUAACACGUGGAUAACCUACCUAUAAGACUGGGAUAACUUCGGGAAACCGGAGCUAAUACCGGAUAAUAUUUUGAACCGCAUGGUUCAAAAGUGAAAGACGGUCUUGCUGUCACUUAUAGAUGGAUCCGCGCUGCAUUAGCUAGUUGGUAAGGUAACGGCUUACCAAGGCAACGAUGCAUAGCCGACCUGAGAGGGUGAUCGGCCACACUGGAACUGAGACACGGUCCAGACUCCUACGGGAGGCAGCAGUAGGGAAUCUUCCGCAAUGGGCGAAAGCCUGACGGAGCAACGCCGCGUGAGUGAUGAAGGUCUUCGGAUCGUAAAACUCUGUUAUUAGGGAAGAACAUAUGUGUAAGUAACUGUGCACAUCUUGACGGUACCUAAUCAGAAAGCCACGGCUAACUACGUGCCAGCAGCCGCGGUAAUACGUAGGUGGCAAGCGUUAUCCGGAAUUAUUGGGCGUAAAGCGCGCGUAGGCGGUUUUUUAAGUCUGAUGUGAAAGCCCACGGCUCAACCGUGGAGGGUCAUUGGAAACUGGAAAACUUGAGUGCAGAAGAGGAAAGUGGAAUUCCAUGUGUAGCGGUGAAAUGCGCAGAGAUAUGGAGGAACACCAGUGGCGAAGGCGACUUUCUGGUCUGUAACUGACGCUGAUGUGCGAAAGCGUGGGGAUUAAACAGGAUUAGAUACCCUGGUAGUCCACGCCGUAAACGAUGAGUGCUAAGUGUUAGGGGGUUUCCGCCCCUUAGUGCUGCAGCUAACGCAUUAAGCACUCCGCCUGGGGAGUACGACCGCAAGGUUGAAACUCAAAGGAAUUGACGGGGACCCGCACAAGCGGUGGAGCAUGUGGUUUAAUUCGAAGCAACGCGAAGAACCUUACCAAAUCUUGACAUCCUUUGACAACUCUAGAGAUAGAGCUUUCCCCUUCGGGGGACAAAGUGACAGGUGGUGCAUGGUUGUCGUCAGCUCGUGUCGUGAGAUGUUGGGUUAAGUCCCGCAACGAGCGCAACCCUUAAGCUUAGUUGCCAUCAUUAAGUUGGGCACUCUAAGUUGACUGCCGGUGACAAACCGGAGGAAGGUGGGGAUGACGUCAAAUCAUCAUGCCCCUUAUGAUUUGGGCUACACACGUGCUACAAUGGACAAUACAAAGGGCAGCGAAACCGCGAGGUCAAGCAAAUCCCAUAAAGUUGUUCUCAGUUCGGAUUGUAGUCUGCAACUCGACUACAUGAAGCUGGAAUCGCUAGUAAUCGUAGAUCAGCAUGCUACGGUGAAUACGUUCCCGGGUCU